Molecule: ribosomal RNA, 216 nt
Filed under: Glomeromycotina sp.
Lineage: Eukaryota; Fungi; Glomeromycota
Description: partial small subunit ribosomal RNA
Rfam family: Eukaryotic small subunit ribosomal RNA (bases 40-216)
Source: RNAcentral
GGGUCAGUAGGUUGGUCGUGCCACCGGUACGUACUGGUCUCACUGAUUCCUCCUUCCUGAAGAACCGUAAUGCCAUUAAUUUGGUGUUGCGGGGAAACAGGACUGUUACUUUGAAAAAACUAGAGUGUUUAAAGCAAGCUAACGCUUGAAUACAUUAUCAUGGAAUAAUGAAAUAGGACGAUCGAUCCUAUUUUGUUGGUUUCUAGGAUUGACGUA